Pteronotus mesoamericanus is the source of this 106-nucleotide small nuclear RNA. NCBI's taxonomy places the organism in Eukaryota, Metazoa, Chordata, Mammalia, Chiroptera, Mormoopidae. The record is from RefSeq and is a predicted model, not a curated record.
GUGUUCAUUCAGCAGCACAUAUGCUAAAAUUAGAACAAUGAGGAUAAAAUUAACAUGAGCCCUGCACAAAGAAGACGCACAAAUUCCUGAAGUGUUCCAUACUUUU